RNAcentral lists this unclassified non-coding RNA (450 nucleotides) under Hevea brasiliensis (rubber tree). The record is from RNAcentral. Lineage: Eukaryota; Viridiplantae; Streptophyta; Magnoliopsida; Malpighiales; Euphorbiaceae.
CGAAUAUUUGAUUACAAUUUGUACAUUUUGCAGAGCAUAGCAUUGAGAAAAUGGCACUCUGUUUGACCAGACACAAUUUUCUACCUCGAAAUCGAGAAUUACACAAACAAGAAGAAGAGGAAGAAGGAAAAGAAGGAGGCAAUUUGAAAUUGAAAUUAGGGCCAAACCAAAUCAACACAAACCCUAGAUUCCUUGAGAAACUCAUCGAUUACAGUCUCAUCGGCACAGAUCCGGCUCUUAUUGCUGUAACCGCACUCAGUCGGCAGCAGCGACUUUGGGGCGGCAGAAGAAGACGUCGGCGGCGGAAGUGGAAUAGUGAGCCAGUAAUCGGGAUUGGUGUGGUGGUGACGGAGGAGUUCGGAGAGGAGAAGAACGAGAGACGCCAUUGAUGGAAAUGGAAAGAUGAAUGUUGAAGGAAAUUAGUUGGAAUUCAAUUGAGAGAGACGAAAG